CAGAGACUGCGAGCGUUAUUCGGAUUCACUGGGCGUAAAGGGUGCGCAGGCGGCCAAGUGUGUGAGGCGUGAAAGCCCGAUGCUUAACAUCGGAAUUGCACCUCAAACUACAUGGCUAGAGCAUUGGAGAGGGUAGCGGAAUUCACGGUGUAGCAGUGAAAUGCGUAGAUAUCGUGAGGAACACCAGAGGCGAAGGCGGCUACCUGGACAAUUGCUGACGCUCAGGCACGAAAGCGUGGGGAGCAAAAGGGAUUAGAUACCCCUGUAGUCCACGCCCUAAACGGUGCACACUAGGUCUUGGCGGAUUCGACCCCACCAGGGCCCAAGCUAACGCGUUAAGUGUGCCGCCUGAGGACUACGGCCGCAAGGCUA
Molecule: ribosomal RNA, 372 nt
Filed under: uncultured organism
Description: bacterial SSU rRNA
Rfam family: Bacterial small subunit ribosomal RNA
Source: RNAcentral